This 480-nucleotide ribosomal RNA is filed under the name uncultured bacterium. RNAcentral describes it as "partial 16S ribosomal RNA". It matches the Rfam family "Bacterial small subunit ribosomal RNA", at positions 28 to 523 of the family's 1533-position model. The record is from RNAcentral.
AAUGAACGUUGGCGGCGUGGAUUAGGCAUGCAAGUCGUGCGAUAACCCCGCAAGGGGGGAAAGCGGCGAAAGGGAGAGUAACGCGUGGGUACCUGCCCCUUGGUCCGGAAUAGCUGCGGGAAACUGCAGGUAAUGCCGGAUAAUAUCCUCGGAUCAAAGGUGUGAUUCCGCCGAGGGAGGGGCCCGCGUUCUAUUAGCUAGUUGGUAGGGUAAUGGCCUACCAAGGCGACGAGGGAUACCGGGUGUGAGAGCAUGACCCGGCUCACUGGGACUGAGACGCUGCCCAGACACCUCCGGGUGGCUGCAGUCGAGAAUCUUCGGCAAUGGGCGCAAGCCUGACCGAGCGACGCCGCGUGCGGGAUGAAGGCCUUCGGGUUGUAAACCGCUGUCGUGGAGGAGGAAAUGCCAUGGGGUUCUCUCCAUGGUUUGACCUAUUCUAGGAGGGAGGACGGGCUAAGUUCGUGCCAGCCGCCGCAGUAA